GACGAACGCUGGCGGCGUGCUUAACACAUGCAAGUCGAACGGAAAGGCCCUGCUUUUGUGGGGUGCUCGAGUGGCGAACGGGUGAGUAACACGUGAGUAACCUGCCCUUGACUUUGGGAUAACUUCAGGAAACUGGGGCUAAUACCGGAUAGGAGCUCCUGCUGCAUGGUGGGGGUUGGAAAGUUUCGGCGGUUGGGGAUGGACUCGCGGCUUAUCAACUUGUUGGUGGGGUAGUGGCUUACCAAGGCUUUGACGGGUAGCCGGCCUGAGAGGGUGACCGGCCACAUUGGGACUGAGAGACGGCCCAGACUCCUACGGGAGGCAGAAGUGGGGAAUAUUGCACAAUGGGCGGAAGCCUGAUGCAGCAACGCCGCGUGCGGGAUGACGGCCUUCGGGUUGUAAACCGCUUUCGCCUGUGACGAAGCGGGAGUGACGGUAAUGGGUAAAGAAGCACCGGCUAACUACGUG
This 468-nucleotide ribosomal RNA is filed under the name uncultured bacterium. Its description in RNAcentral is "partial 16S ribosomal RNA". It matches the Rfam family "Bacterial small subunit ribosomal RNA", at positions 28 to 507 of the family's 1533-position model. The record is from RNAcentral.